RNAcentral lists this long non-coding RNA (753 nucleotides) under Gossypium barbadense (sea-island cotton). RNAcentral's name for it is "long non-coding RNA (GBAR_LNC004818)". The record is from RNAcentral. Lineage: Eukaryota; Viridiplantae; Streptophyta; Magnoliopsida; Malvales; Malvaceae.
UUGGUGAAGGAGGAUAUGGGCCGGUUUUUAAAGCCACCCUUGACCAUACUGCUGUAGCCAUCAAGAUCUUAAGGCCAGAUAUAUCACAAGGACAGAAGCAAUUCCAACAAGAGGUAACUAUGCUUGUUAAUCCUGUUUCCCAAGAACAAUUAAACUUCAUUGAAUUUUACGGUGUCCCAAAACAUUGGGUAUCUCUUUUCUUGGUGAAGAAGUUUGAAUCAUCUCUUAUAGUAAAACUCAAAGCUGCAUUAUAGGUAAUCUGUCAAUUGCAAUAUAUUUAAAAUCACAGCUUCUAUAUAUCACAAUAAGAAAUAAAAAAGUGCCAGAAAUGAAUGAGGCGGGCAUCAUUUGACAUUAUAAUGAUAGCUGAAUAUAAUAUCUGAAAUGAGUGAAGAAUAGCAAAGAAUGUUGAGUUAAUUUCAUUUUAAAUUUAUAGAAAUGUUCCUUUUAUAGCUUCUUUUAAACUUGUUCAUAGUCUUAUAAUUUAAGAUGGCAAUGACUUAUAAAAGCCUUUAAAAGCCCUGCCACCUAGAAAACCAACAAAUAUGAUGUCCACAGCAAUUUCUCUAGCCAAAUAGAGGGGAGAUAAAGAGUAUGGUCUUACCUUCAUGUGUUUAUAGUGGCAGAACUUAUCUGUCCUUCUUCCUCCCUUUCAUUUGUAUUAAAUAAAUUUGUAAUGUAGGUUGAGGUUCUAAGCUGCAUGAGACAUCCACACCUGGUUCUGCUCAUAGGUGCCUGCCCUGAGUAUGGAUG